UGGCUCCUGCUCACCAGAAUCUAUACCGAGAGGUGAUGCUGGAGAACUACAGCAACUUGGUGUCAGUGGGAUAUCAACUUUCCAAACCUAGUGUGAUAUCCCAGUUAGAGAAAGGAGAAGAGCCAUGGAUGGCAGAGAAAGAAGGCCCAGGAGAUCCCAGUUCAGCUACUUAUGAAAACUCCUGUAAGAGAAAUUACCAAAGGAUUCCUUCUCACCAAAUGUCGGGGUCCCUAACAAUCUCCUCAAACUUUGCUUUUUAUUCUGAAAUAUUUUAGACACUCAGAAAGGCAUAGAAAACAUUAUAACACAUUUCUGUGUAGCUUCCACCUAGACUAAGAAAUGAAACAGAGUUGAAGCUCCACUGUCCCCCUUACACCUUUUGAAAUAAGCACUCUGCGUUGAAAUAUUAUUCCCAUGUCUUCGUGCUUUUAUUACAUGUAUAAUGUAGUAAAAGCAGUCUAUAUAUCAGUGUAUACAUACUAAACAAUAUAUAGCAUUGUUUUGCAUGUUCUCUUUCUUUAAAUAAAUGGUAUGUAUACUU
This 541-nucleotide small RNA is filed under the name Pan troglodytes (chimpanzee). Its description in RNAcentral is "processed transcript". The record is from RNAcentral. Lineage: Eukaryota; Metazoa; Chordata; Mammalia; Primates; Hominidae.